CGUAUUGGGUCUGCUGAUUCGGAGGAAUCAUGCGGAAGUAGUAAAUUAGACACAUCAAGUAGUGCAAAUCACCAACCAAAACAGUGACAUUUUGGAAAACUAAUGAAAGUAAAGUUUAUUUUAAACAAGAGGAUCUGUGCCAGUUCCAUUCCGAUAGUUAGGUUAUUUGGUAGAGGUAGCCUAUAGUCACUGAAUUGUCAUCAUCAGAUAGUUAUGGCUUGGAGCGACUCUAUGGUGUCAAUGAAUGGAACUCAAAAGCUGUAUGACGGUAUGAAAGUCUGGAUAGCCCUACCCAACCCUACCUCAGGUCACAAACAAGGUUUCCUAUAUUGGACAUGACUGUAAGGACAUCCCAGAGUUCCUUGGAGAAAGAUAUGGACUCUUGACAAGACGGCUAGAUCUCAGCUUCAAUCAGCUAAGGAAUGAAGAUGGUGAAAUGGCUGGUCCUACGUGCUGCCAAACUUUGCUGAUGGUAUCAGGCAGAUUGAGAUGAAUUGAUGACUCAGUAUCGACCCUCGCUUGGAUGUGAAUGGAGAAGUUGAAUGUAAAUCUAUCCGGGCGGAAACCAUUACCAUAACCCCACUCUGGAAUAAAGCAUUCACCAAUUUUACAGAGGCUGCUGAGGUGUCUGCCUGACCACCAGGCCUACACACAGCAUAUGGCAGGGUAUGACAGACUACACCCAACACCAUACUACAGACCCAGCGCUGUCCCCCACCCUUUGGGCUUGUCAGGAGAAGUCAUAGCCCACCAGAAGGAAAUCUAAGACUACAGCAGAUCAAACUGUAUUUGGUAACGCUAUGCUUUGUGUGUGCCUGCGUGCGUGCGUGCGUGCCUGCGUGCGUGCGUGCGUGCCUCGCACCACUCUGCCCAGGGGAGUCUUGCCUAGUGAGGUGUAUUGUAGCUUGGCUAGUCACCCUCUGUGCCAACAUGGAAGCAUGGUCUUUCCAAGGCUUACUUUACCUCCGAGCACUUUUCAUAUCAUACAUGACAAAUUAUGUUAUGUUUCUGCUUGCUUCAGAUUGUUUUCACUCUUCAAAUCAUCUGUGAGGAGAGUUGCUCUAAAAAAAGAG
RNAcentral lists this long non-coding RNA (1073 nucleotides) under Salmo salar (Atlantic salmon). Its description in RNAcentral is "lncRNA (ENSSSAG00000111991.1)". The record is from RNAcentral. Lineage: Eukaryota; Metazoa; Chordata; Actinopteri; Salmoniformes; Salmonidae.